GGGAACCGCCCCUGGUGGGCGGAGCCGGUCUUUGCCCCUUUUUAUAAGCUCAGGUGUGGGCAAUUAGGUAUUCCUCUAGCAAACCUGAAGCUGCGAGUGCUUGGUCCAAGCUGGGCAAGUUGGUAUUUUUAAAUUCCUUUCCAUGAAAGUUUGAUGCGGGUCCCCCUAAACUUCUAUUAGAACGGUGGGAAACAUUGCUCCCGUGAGAACGGUACAGUGGACUUCAUCGCCACUGACCCACAGUUAUUAGGGUGUGACACGAACUUGUGGACAGGUAACAAAACAAUUAAGUUGAGGAAUAUUCCUGUGUUUUAUUGUCCAGCAUAAGUGAUCUCCUGCCUUUUAUUCACAGAGUACCGAGCUGCUGCUUUGCCCGGUGGAUUUCUGGUUGCGGGCAAAGGACCCGACACAUCAGUGUGUUUUAAUUUGUUUUAAACUGGUGUAAGUCGACAGACUGACUGUUGCGGCUGUCGAUUGUUUUGUUUUGUUUUUAUUUUAUUUUUUCUGUAUCAGUAGGCACCACAAAUAUUGAUUCUUUUAGUAUUUUUAACCCUUUUCUUAAAUGUGUAUAGACAUAUUGUCGCGAACGGUGAAGGCGCUGCAGGGAGAACAAAUCCUUUUUUUUUUCCCUCACCGCUUCUGCAUGCACAGCGGAGGGCCUGAGUGAAGACGGCACUGAAGCUUUUGUUUUUCUCUAUAGUGUUUUGCCCAUUUGGGGUCGUGUGUCAGUUGCCGUCCCUUUUUAACCUGUGUUAUGUUGAUUUGUUUUUAAUGGUUCCCCGCAGCGCUUGUCCUGUCUCACGGGCAAUCAUACAGUUUUAUCGUUUUUAAAUAAGGUAAAGCUUUUAAUUGUUUUUAAGUGCCGCUGUUAUAUUGUUACUUUUAUUUUGUAUUAAAAAUUAAAUUCUUUUUAACUGAC
Molecule: long non-coding RNA, 919 nt
Organism: Oreochromis niloticus (Nile tilapia)
Lineage: Eukaryota; Metazoa; Chordata; Actinopteri; Cichliformes; Cichlidae
Exons: 2
Source: RefSeq, a predicted model, not a curated record